UAAGACGAACCGUGCGAACGUUGUUCGGAAUCACUGGGCUUAAAGGGCGCGUAGGCGGCUUCGCAGGUCAGGGGUGAAAGCCCGCGGCUCAACCGCGGAAGUGCCUUUGAUACCGCGAGGCUUGAGGGAGGUAGGGGCGUGCGGAACUUCCGGUGGAGCGGUGAAAUGCGUAGAUAUCGGAAGGAACACCGGUGGCGAAAGCGGCGCGCUGGACCUCUUCUGACGCUGAGGCGCGAAAGCCAGGGGAGCGAACGGG
RNAcentral lists this ribosomal RNA (256 nucleotides) under uncultured bacterium. RNAcentral describes it as "partial 16S ribosomal RNA". It matches the Rfam family "Bacterial small subunit ribosomal RNA", at positions 521 to 776 of the family's 1533-position model. The record is from RNAcentral.